RNAcentral lists this long non-coding RNA (1204 nucleotides) under Homo sapiens (human). Its description in RNAcentral is "non-protein coding lnc-COL8A1-7:1". The record is from RNAcentral. Lineage: Eukaryota; Metazoa; Chordata; Mammalia; Primates; Hominidae.
UCCUGAACCUCUUUGUGCUUAGGUUUCCUCAUCUAUAAAAGAGGGAAACACUCUAAAACCUACCUCAUAGUAGUGUUCUUGUAAGGGUAAUAUGAGUUAAGUUCUAUAAAAAGCUCAGAAUAGAGUUGAGAGUAACUGAGGUUGUCCAGGCCCUUCUCAGAUGUCUUGAAUUUUUGUGGAAAAGGAAGGAAUCGGGUGGAUUAGAAGCACCUAUUCCUCAUGCGAGAACAGUGUUUAUGCCAAAUCAGGCAGGGUGGUUCGGGAGUUACACCUAUAUUCCAAGGCAACUGUCCACAGAACAGACAUCCACCCAGUGCUCCUGAGCCUUGGCACAGAAGAUCCCUCCUCUCUUCAGUCACUCACAUGCCAGGGAAGAAAUUUGGUUCUCCUGCCUCCCUGCCUGGCUCCUGUCAGCCAGACAUCUGCUACAUAUGCUGCUGUUGUUUCUGCUUCACCUUUCCCCACAUGAUCUUAUUCUUGCCCCUUCUCUUCCCUUGUCAUUCUUUCUUACGGGAAAGAUGCUGGGGCAAUUUUCUUUACAACAUAUGGAACCAUGCAAAACAUAUAUUUCUGCUUGGCUCUGGUGUGUUCUUGAGUCAAUCAAGACCAUCUGCGUUUGCAUAUCUAAUAUCCCCCAGUCUACCCCAUCUCCUACAUCGAAUUAUUUCUGUAUAAUUUAACAGUGUCUUUGUGCUACAAAGCCCUUAAUAAUUUUUAAACAAAAUUGCCUUAAUACAUAGCAAUUGCUAAAUGCAAUACGGAAAUAUUUAUUUCUUUUGCCAGCUGUAGAUUUCAAAGGCUGCCUUGCACAACUUGCAGAACUCUUUGUGAUACAAACUAUAUAAGGUAUGUUUCUUAAAAGUCACUUUUUUGGGGAGUCUAGCCACACAUCACAUUCAAUUCUACUAGACAUGAACUUUGAAAAAUCAUCAGCAAGUUAACUGCCCAAGGAAAGAAUUCAAACCAGCCCUGUAAUGUUUAAUUUCCCCUUGACCAUUCCAUGGCUGACAUCUGAUAUGCAGUGCUGAGUCUUUCCGAUGGCACCUGUUUUCCAAUUGUUGACCUGUACUUAUCAUCACUGCAAAACACUAAGGCAUGAAUUCUACUGAUAGCGGGAAAUCCAGCUGGAAAGUAACACCAUCAAAGCAUCAUGGAAUAUGUGAUAAGGUUACAUAACUAUAGUCAUGUACAAGCACCAAAAAUA